AUACGGAGGGUGCAAACGUUGUUCGGAAUUACUGGGCGUAAAGCGCGCGUAGGCGGUUUGUUAAGUCAGAUGUGAAAGUCCACAGCUCAACUGUGGAAGUGCAUUUGAGACUGGCAGACUUGAGUACUGGAGGGGGUGGUGGAAUUCCCGGUGUAGAGGUGAAAUUCGUAGAUAUCGGGAGGAAUACCGGUGGCGAAGGCGACCACCUGGCCAGAUACUGACGCUGAGGUGCGAAAGCGUGGGUAGCAAACGGGAUUAGAAACCCUAGUAGUCC
Molecule: ribosomal RNA, 274 nt
Filed under: uncultured bacterium
Lineage: Bacteria
Description: partial 16S ribosomal RNA
Rfam family: Bacterial small subunit ribosomal RNA
Source: RNAcentral